GGUAAUGGAGCAGAGACUGGAGCAGAGACAAGUUGUUCCCACUGAGCUCUCCUCAGAUUACAGAUUGGUCUGAUUAUAAAAGGAGAAUUGGAGGCUUACCAAACAUCUGAAGAGCUUUCCAGAAGUUUGGUCACUUCUGAAUUAGAGAAGUUAAAACCCAAUCACCUACUAAUGCUGUGGGAAAGUUCUGCAGGUGAUACAUCACAGGGGCUCAUGAAUGUGUCUUAAGCUGGGUCAUUGAAGUGGAAUGUUUUCACAAGACCUCCUCCACUUGCUACUGUGUCCGGAAUUGGUGGGUUCUUGGUCUCACUGACUUCAAGAAUGAAGCCGCGGACCCUCGCGGGAGUGGCAAAUCAAAGGCAUUGCAGCCUCUUUCAUCACUGCCGAUUGCUGAUGCCAACCAUGUGCCAAGUGCUUAAUACGUCACCUUAAAUCUUCUCAUCCACCCUCAGAGUAGCUGCAGCAUCAACCCAGUGCCCUGACUUUCAAGACGACUAUGAAAACACCCCAACUGCUGCUAAAUUACCAGCAACAAGGAUCUGGAAUUUUCCUGACAAGAGCAGUGCCUAUCCUGAGGCAAUCGUAUUUCUCCUUGACUUCUCUCCAGUAUCAGCUUGUUGCUUGACACCCCUGCACAGCCAACUGUGUAAUGUGGGUGAGUCUAGCUGCAUUUUCUUCAGACACAAGCCUGGCUACCCAGUGCUAAGGUGACAUCAGGCCAGGCCACAACAUUCUUAUUCAAAAGAAAGAACACCGAAAUUGACCUUACCCUGACAAUAUGAUGGCUGAAGGAUUUAUGAUCACUUAUAACAUUUGAAAUUGAGGCGGAACCUGAAGAAUAAGACUCUGGUGAAAGGUCCUAUUUAUGCUUUUGAUGUCUUUCACUUGGACAUUUACCACAUGCCUAUUGGUAGGUUUGUUACAUAGGUCAGUUAAGGUGAUACAAGAAUAAAUAAAACACUAUCCCUAUCCUUUAAUAUCAUUUAUUUAUGGGGUCAAUCACAGAUUUUCAUUUUUCAAAAUCUUUGAUAAAUGUCAGAAUUAUGUUUUUUAAUAUUUUUACAGAAUUAUUACAAUAUAUGGUAGAGGAUGGAAGGCAAGGUAGUAUGAAACGGAAAAGAUAUUUUGAAUUAAGGUAUUUGGACCUGGAUUAAUAUUUUUGCUUUGGUCUUUAUUAGCUGAGUGACCUUGAGAAAGUUCUUCUACUAAAAAAGAACAAAGAUAAUAAUUACUUCAUGAAAUUGCUGUAAAAAACACAUAACAAGUAUAUCCAGACUCAACAGUGUAUGCUCAAAAAUGCAGAUCCUUUUUCCCUUACCUGCAAAUAAAGUCUUACAGUAAUACAGUGGGGGUAAAGGUUUAAACUGGUGGAUUCAAGAAGGGCUAUAGAAAGAGGUAGCAUCUUAAUAGGGGAAGGAGAGGAUCCAAGAAAUCAGAUCCAUUUUCUACAAAAAGAAAUGGGAAGACAGAUAAUUCAAGAAGAAAA
Molecule: long non-coding RNA, 1486 nt
Filed under: Homo sapiens (human)
Lineage: Eukaryota; Metazoa; Chordata; Mammalia; Primates; Hominidae
Description: HSALNT0354271
Source: RNAcentral